Molecule: ribosomal RNA, 253 nt
Filed under: uncultured bacterium
Lineage: Bacteria
Description: partial 16S ribosomal RNA
Rfam family: Bacterial small subunit ribosomal RNA
Source: RNAcentral
UACGAAGGGGGCGAGCGUUGUUCGGAUUUACUGGGCGUAAAGGGCGCGCAGGCGGCUAGUUUUGUCGAGUGUGAAAGCCCCGGGCUUAACCUGGGAACUGCGCUCGAAACGGGCUGGCUAGAGAUCGGGAGAGGAGAGUGGAAUUCCCAGUGUAGAGGUGAAAUUCGUAGAUAUUGGGAAGAACACCGGUGGCGAAGGCGGCUCUCUGGACCGAUACUGACGCUGAGGCGCGAAAGCCAGGGGAGCAAACGGG